UUUAUUGGAGAGUUUGAUCCUGGCUCAGGAUGAACGCUGGCGGCGUGCCUAAUACAUGCAAGUCGAGCGAAUGGAUUAAGAGCUUGCUCUUAUGAAGUUAGCGGCGGACGGGUGAGUAACACGUGGGUAACCUGCCCAUAAGACUGGGAUAACUCCGGGAAACCGGGGCUAAUACCGGAUAACAUUUUGAACUGCAUGGUUCGAAAUUGAAAGGCGGCUUCGGCUGUCACUUAUGGAUGGACCCGCGUCGCAUUAGCUAGUUGGUGAGGUAA
Molecule: ribosomal RNA, 272 nt
Filed under: Bacillus thuringiensis
Lineage: Bacteria; Bacillati; Bacillota; Bacilli; Caryophanales; Bacillaceae
Also listed under: 1 other name
Description: partial 16S ribosomal RNA
Rfam family: Bacterial small subunit ribosomal RNA
Source: RNAcentral